UCGAGAAUUUUUCACAAUGGGCGAAAGCCUGAUGGAGCGACGCCGCGUGGGGGAUGAAUGGCUUCGGCCCGUAAACCCCUGUCAUUCGCGAGCAAACGUUAUUAUUUAAAAGAUGAUAGCCUGAUAGUAGCGAAAAAGGAAGGAACGGCUAACUCUGUGCCAGCAGCCGCGGUAAUACAGAGGUCCCAAGCGUUGUUCGGAUUUACUGGGCGUAAAGGGUGCGUAGGUGGUGGGGUAAGUCGGAUGUGAAAUCUCCGAGCUCAACUCGGAAAGUGCAUUGGAAACUACCCUGAUCGAGGGUUGGAGGGGGGGCUGGAAUACUUGGUGUAGCAGUGAAAUGCGUAGAUAUCAAGUGGAACACCAGUGGCGAAGGCGAGUCCCUGGACAACUCCUGACACUGAGGCACGAAAGCUAGGGGAGCAAACAG
RNAcentral lists this ribosomal RNA (427 nucleotides) under uncultured bacterium. RNAcentral's name for it is "bacterial SSU rRNA". It matches the Rfam family "Bacterial small subunit ribosomal RNA", at positions 355 to 775 of the family's 1533-position model. The record is from RNAcentral.